GACGAACGCUGGCGGCGCGCCUAACACAUGCAAGUCGAACGGAGCUGUUUUCUCUGAAGUUUUCGGAUGGAAGAGAGUUCAGCUUAGUGGCGAACGGGUGAGUAACACGUGAGCAACCUGCCUUUCAGUGGGGGACAACAUUUGGAAACGAAUGCUAAUACCGCAUAAGACCACAGUGUCGCAUGGCACAGGGGUCAAAGGAUUUAUCCGCUGAAAGAUGGGCUCGCGUCCGAUUAGCUAGAUGGUGAGGUAACGGCCCACCAUGGCGACGAUCGGUAGCCGGACUGAGAGGUUGAACGGCCACAUUGGGACUGAGACACGGCCCAGACUCCUACGGGAGGCAGCAGUGGGGAAUAUUGCACAAUGGGGGAAACCCUGAUGCAGCGACGCCGCGUGGAGGAAGAAGGUCUUCGGAUUGUAAACUCCUGUCCCAGGGGACGAUAAUGACGGUACCCUGGGAGGAAGCACCGGCUAACUACGUGCCAGCAGCCGCGGUAAAACGUAGGGUGCAAGCGUUGUCCGGAAUUACUGGGUGUAAAGGGAGCGCAGGCGGAUUGGCAAGUUGGGAGUGAAAUCUAUGGGCUCAACCCAUAAAUUGCUUUCAAAACUGUCAGUCUUGAGUGGUGUAGAGGUAGGCGGAAUUCCCGGUGUAGCGGUGGAAUGCGUAGAUAUCGGGAGGAACACCAGAGGCGAAGCGGCUACGGGCACUAACUGACG
This 717-nucleotide ribosomal RNA is filed under the name uncultured Lachnospiraceae bacterium. RNAcentral's name for it is "bacterial SSU rRNA". It matches the Rfam family "Bacterial small subunit ribosomal RNA", at positions 28 to 745 of the family's 1533-position model. Lineage: Bacteria; Bacillati; Bacillota; Clostridia; Lachnospirales; Lachnospiraceae. The record is from RNAcentral.